GAUGAACGCUGGCGGCGUGCUUAACACAUGCAAGUCGAACGAAGCACUUUAUUUGAUUUCCUUCGGGACUGAUUAUUUUGUGACUGAGUGGCGGACGGGUGAGUAACGCGUGGGUAACCUGCCUUGUACAGGGGGAUAACAGUUGGAAACGGCUGCUAAUACCGCAUAAGCGCACGGCAUCGCAUGAUGCAGUGUGAAAAACUCCGGUGGUAUAAGAUGGACCCGCGUUGGAUUAGCUAGUUGGUGAGGUAACGGGCCACCAAGGCGACGAUCCAUAGCCGACCUGAGAGGGUGACCGGCCACAUUGGGACUGAGACACGGCCCAAACUCCUACGGGAGGCAGCAGUGGGUAAUAUUGCACAAUGGGCGAAAGCCUGAUGCAGCGACGCCGCGUGAGCGAAGAAGUAUUUCGGUAUGUAAAGCUCUAUCAGCAGGGAAGAUAAUGACGGUACCUGACGAAGAAGCACCGGCUAAAUACGUG
Molecule: ribosomal RNA, 481 nt
Filed under: uncultured bacterium
Lineage: Bacteria
Description: partial 16S ribosomal RNA
Rfam family: Bacterial small subunit ribosomal RNA
Source: RNAcentral